RNAcentral lists this ribosomal RNA (377 nucleotides) under uncultured Chloroflexota bacterium. RNAcentral's name for it is "bacterial SSU rRNA". It matches the Rfam family "Bacterial small subunit ribosomal RNA", at positions 521 to 896 of the family's 1533-position model. Lineage: Bacteria; Bacillati; Chloroflexota. The record is from RNAcentral.
UAAUACGUAGGAGACGAGCGUUAUCCGGAUUUAUUGGGCGUAAAGAGGGUGUAGGUGGUUCUUCAAGUCAGAUGUAAAAUCUCCCGGCUUAACUGGGAGGGACCAUUUGAUACUGCUGGACUAGAGUGCAGUAGAGGGAGACGGAAUUCCCGGUGUAGUGGUGAAAUGCGUAGAUAUCGGGAGGAACACCAGCAGCGAAGGCGGUCUCCUGGGCUGUUACUGACGCUGAGACCCGAAAGCGUGGGGAGCGAACAGGAUUAGAUACCCUGGUAGUCCACGCCGUAAACGAUGGACACUAGGUAUGGGGAGUAUCGACCCUCCGCGUGCCGAAGCUAACGCAUUAAGUGUCCCGCCUGGGGAGUACGGUCGCAAGACUA